This 863-nucleotide ribosomal RNA is filed under the name Plasmodium ovale curtisi. Its description in RNAcentral is "SSU rRNA". It matches the Rfam family "Eukaryotic small subunit ribosomal RNA", at positions 131 to 925 of the family's 1831-position model. Lineage: Eukaryota; Apicomplexa; Aconoidasida; Haemosporida; Plasmodiidae. The record is from RNAcentral.
UACCUUACAAGGAUAACUACGGAAAAGCUGUAGCUAAUACUUGCUUUAAUGCGUUUGAAUCCUUUUGGAUUCCCGCGUAUGUACUUGUUAAGCCUUUAAGAAAGAAGUUUAUAACUUAAGGAAUUAUAACAAAGAAGUAACACAUAAUAAGGUUGCCUUAUUUAGUGUGUAUCAAUCGAGUUUCUGACCUAUCAGCUUUUGAUGUUAGGGUAUUGGCCUAACAUGGCUAUGACGGGUAACGGGGAAUUAGAGUUCGAUUCCGGAGAGGGAGCCUGAGAAAUAGCUACCACAUCUAAGGAAGGCAGCAGGCGCGUAAAUUACCCAAUUCUAAAGAAGAGAGGUAGUGACAAGAAAUAACAAUACAAGGCCAUUUCAUGGUUUUGUAAUUGGAAUGAUGGGAAUUUAAAACCUUCCCAAAAUUCAAUUGGAGGGCAAGUCUGGUGCCAGCAGCCGCGGUAAUUCCAGCUCCAAUAGCGUAUAUUAAAAUUGUUGCAGUUAAAACGCUCGUAGUUGAAUUUCAAAGAAUCAAUAUUUUAAGUAAUACUUUUGCUAUAAGAUGCUUAGACAAUACAACGUAUCUGUUCUUUGCAUUCCUUAUGCAAAAUGUGUUCUUAUUAUAAAAAGGAUUCUUUUUAAAAUCUCUUUUGCUAUUUUUUAGUAUUGGAGAUUUUGUUACUUUGAGUAAAUUAGAGUGUUCAAAGCAAACAGUUAAAGCAUUUUACUGCGUUUGAAUACUACAGCAUGGAAUAACAAAAUUGAACAAGUCAGAAUUCUGUUCUUUUUUCUUAUUUUGGCUUAGUUACGAUUAAUAGGAGUAGCUUGGAGGCAUUUGUAUUCAGAUGUCAGAGGUGAAAUUCUUAGAU